Molecule: ribosomal RNA, 498 nt
Filed under: uncultured bacterium
Lineage: Bacteria
Description: partial 16S ribosomal RNA
Rfam family: Bacterial small subunit ribosomal RNA
Source: RNAcentral
GACGAACGCUGGCGGCGUGCCUAAUACAUGCAAGUCGAGCGGACGAUUCGAAAGCUUGCUUUUGAAUCGUUAGCGGCGGACGGGUGAGUAACACGUGGGCAACCUGCCCUGUAGACGGGGAUAACACCGAGAAAUUGGUGCUAAUACCGGAUAACACGAAAUGUCGCAUGACGUUUCGUUGAAAGGCGGCGCAAGCUGCCGCUACAGGAUGGGCCCGCGGCGCAUUAGCUAGUUGGUGAGGUAACGGCUCACCAAGGCGACGAUGCGUAGCCGACCUGAGAGGGUGAUCGGCCACACUGGGACUGAGACACGGCCCAGACUCCUACGGGAGGCAGCAGUAGGGAAUCUUCCGCAAUGGACGAAAGUCUGACGGAGCAACGCCGCGUGAGCGAAGAAGGCCUUCGGGUCGUAAAGCUCUGUUGUUAGGGAAGAACAAGUAACGUAGUAACUGACGUUACUAUGACGGUACCUAACGAGAAAGCCACGGCUAACUACGUG